Molecule: microRNA precursor, 84 nt
Filed under: Bombyx mori (domestic silkworm)
Lineage: Eukaryota; Metazoa; Arthropoda; Insecta; Lepidoptera; Bombycidae
Description: mir-2807 microRNA precursor family
Rfam family: mir-2807 microRNA precursor family
Source: Rfam by way of RNAcentral
UAAAAGUUAACUCAUAUUUAGUUGGGACGUUUGCCUACGUUUGCCGCUAGGGGCGCUGUUCCAACGGCAUACAAAAUUGAGUUA